This 363-nucleotide ribosomal RNA is filed under the name uncultured bacterium. RNAcentral's name for it is "bacterial SSU rRNA". It matches the Rfam family "Bacterial small subunit ribosomal RNA", at positions 72 to 422 of the family's 1533-position model. The record is from RNAcentral.
UUAUUCAGCAAUGGAUAACUGAGUGGCGAACGGGUGAGUAACACGUGGGUGACCUACCUUUGAGUGGGGGAUAACGUCCCGAAAGGGACGCUAAUACCGCAUAACAUCCUGCCUUUGAACAGGCGGAGAUCAAAGCCGGGGAUCGCAAGACCUGGCGCUUGAUGAGGGGCCCGCGUCUGAUUAGCUAGUUGGUGAGGUAACGGCCCACCAAGGCGACGAUCAGUAUCCGUGCCUGAGAGGGCGGACGGCCACACUGGGACUGAGACACGGCCCAGACUCCUACGGGAGGCACCAGUGGGGAAUUGUUCACAAUGGGCGCAACCCUGAUGACGCAACGCCGCGUGGAGGAGGAAGGUCUUCGGA